Small nuclear RNA from Schistocerca nitens (vagrant locust), 108 nucleotides. Lineage: Eukaryota; Metazoa; Arthropoda; Insecta; Orthoptera; Acrididae. The record is from RefSeq and is a predicted model, not a curated record.
GCGGAUUAGCGACGUUCUGCUGUAGAAAAAAUUGGAACGAUACAGAGAACAUUAACAAGGCUCCGGCGCAAGGGUGACACUCGAAAUUGUGAAACGUUCCACGUUAAU